RNAcentral lists this long non-coding RNA (1704 nucleotides) under Stylophora pistillata. RNAcentral's name for it is "uncharacterized LOC111322483". The record is from RNAcentral. Lineage: Eukaryota; Metazoa; Cnidaria; Anthozoa; Scleractinia; Pocilloporidae.
AGGGAGACAUCUCAAAUAGAUUAUAACUAAGAACCAAUCAAAAUGUAUGGAUAAUCCAGCCUAUAAAAUGUGACCCAUAAAGAAGAUGUUGGUAACUGGCCUUCUCACAAAUGAAACGCUUGUCUUGUUGCUGCUGACAAUAAGGAUGUACAUCUUCUUCAAUUAAAUCAUUGUGACAUUUCAACGGAAGGGAUGUUAAGAUGUUUAUUUCCAAUUACUUUACGCUCUGCUAUCUAUAAAUGUUUGAAAAUAUAAAUUACUCUCCAUUUCUAAUAUCGUCCUUUUUCCUAAUUGAGGAUUUCUUUUAUCUAAUCGGUAGGGCCUAAACUUUUACAAGAAGUAGAUCUCCACACCCGUGAUGAAGUUGCGUUUAUGCUUGAGAACAGCCUCUAUAGUCUUGGGGGCUGGAGGCAGGUUGCUGCUGAAUACAACAUGAAAGAGAGUAAAAUAACAGGUCUUGUCAAUUCCAGGGAACCUGGAAAAGACGUCAUGGAGUUUCUGGGUGGUUGCAAACCAAACCUAACGGUUUACAAUUUCUGCAAAGUUCUAAAGCACCAUAAAAUGCAACGUUUUGAUAUUGCCAAGCUCUUAGAAGAUCAUUUUUUGGUUGAAGAUGGAGCUGGGUAAUGAGUAUCUAUGAUCUUGUCAAGUUUUAUUCUCACGAAAUUUCCGAUACUUCGAGCCUGCGAUCUUGUUUUUGCACAAACGCCGCUUACCAGGGUCUGAAGCAUCCAAUGAAACAACACAACAAUCAUCCCUUCGUACCAGACUUCUCUCAUCGUUAUCUUACAGAGGAUGUCCCGUAUGGACUGGCGGUUAUCAAGGGUAUAGCAGAAAUCGUACAAGUGGACACGCCUACCAUAGACAAAAUUCUCCUAUGGGCUCAAGAAAAAAUGGGAAAAGAGUACUUUGUCGGGUCUAAACGCCAAGGAAAAGAUUUUUCUUUCUACGCGAUCACCUUAAAGUUAUGGACUGACCUCGUUGGACGCUAUUUUGGGAAGAGCCUAGUUUGUAGCUCUUUAAAGGUGUAUUAGGUUCAAUGAGCCUGGUUCAAUAAGUCAUAAACUCGUUAACAAAGACCGACAAUCCUUGUCGAUGACCUCUAUGUUACGCGAGGCUUUCAUAAGGGAAAGUAUUGUCUGACAGAGGCUACUUUGAAUUUAAUUCAGAACGACUUGUUUUAUCGGGGAUAAGGUUUUGAGUCUCAGCGACAGCCGUAGUGUCGUAAAACCAAAACCAAAGUAAUCACAACAACUGCCAAUCAUAUCAGUGGAACAUAUGACAAGGAGGCAAUAAGAACUCAAAAUAAAAAACAUAGGCAUGCUGAGCAUGCAAGAGUUUAUUUUUUGGAAUUAGUGGUAUGGGCUGGGAUACUUUGUGCAACCAUUGUAUUAAUUUUUAGUUCCAAGAAAAAAGCAUUAAUUUUCAAAGAUGCCAACCAAACUGUCGCAUUACUUUACUUGCUGGGAAAGCAGAAAACCUUCCAAAUUUAUUUGAAAUAACCUCUAACAGGUUUACAGCCUACUGUCUCUGUUGUUGGAACAGUAACAAGAAAAGUGAAAUGCAUCAGUGUCACGCUUACCGCCCUUUCAUCAAUGAAUCAAAAUUAUUGUCAUUUGCCUCAGUCCGAAAAAUUUUACCACAUAAUUUGACAGUGGAAAGCAAACCCGAACUAUUUUAUCCCCAAUAAAUCCUAACAGAAGA